CCAGCCUAGGGCUGAAAAUCUCUAUAAUAAAGUAAUAAUAAUAAUAAUAAUAUUGAACAAAUCCUGGAGCAGCAGAAACACAUUUAUUCAAGUCGAAAUAACGAUUUUGUUUCGAGAACGGAAGGAAUUCUUGCGGGUGAGUUUUAUUUUCUUUCCACUAUUCAUAUUUCUAAUAGGAUUGUUUCUCUUGCAGACUCUGGACAAAAUCAAACUCAAAAAUAUGAGAGAAUUCCACAAAAACUGUGCUGGAAAUUUAGAAAUCAACGACUCUUCAGCUCUGUGCCAGCAAGUUUGAGCCCUGAUAACGUAACAUGAACAUUAGAUUUUUUUUGUUCGAGCGAGUUCCUACGAUGGAAAUCUCGGUGCAAGCAUACGGGAAAGAUGCGGACAUUUGAGCAUGGGGUGACCGUGGAGGCACGUGCCUGGAAUAUCUUCGUAUGGAGUUUGAAAUGAAGAGCUAAAAUAACAUUGUCGCGGAAGAUAAAUAUUGAUGAACUUCGCUGUGUAUACGAAUUCUAAAUUUAGAAGUAUUUAGCAUUAAGACAGCUAAAAAACUAAUAAACUAUAUUUUUGUUCAUAAUUUCAACUACUUAAUCAUAGUUUUGUUCAUAAUUUAGAUUUAAUACAUUUUUCUCACAUAUUCGGUGACAAAAUUAAAAUUACAAAAAAAUGUUCACAUUGAAAUAAAAUGAACGUAUCUUACUGCGGUUGGCUUAACGAUGUUUGUUAAAUAUUAAUAUUUAGUUAUUUUCCUAAGAUAUCUACGCUCCAUAAGCUUUUAUUGUUAGAUAUUUGACUUGAGAAAAAUAUUGUAAAACAACAAUAGAGAACAGAUGCUGAAAACAGCUAAAAUGGAACCACCGAUAGUUGAUACAUUUAAUAAAUAAAUUUCCUUAGCUUAAUCUUUGAGAAAAAAAUGAGAAAAUUACAACAAGUGUUUGAACGUGAGUAUUUCACAAUAUAAUACAAUAUAAUAUUCGGUUGAACGAUACGUGUUAAGAUUUCUAUUUUGUAUCUUCAAAGGAAAUCUGGAAUUAUCAGCAAAACAAAUGAACGACCCGUUUUACUGAAGAUUUGUACCAGUUGUAUUCUUCUGCAAAAUUAGAAAUACCUUUGGUUUGAGAUCCACAAGGUCAACGGCUGAGGAAUGGAAUAAAAAUCCCAUCGGGUAAGGCCAUGUUUUCCGCCUUCAUGCUACAAGAGCAAAACACAGCUUUCAGAUAGGAUAAUUAAGAACACAAAAUAAAUAAAUAAAAAAAAACAAUGGAUUGUUAGUGAAUAAAAUAUUGCUAUUUUCUGAGCAUAACGUAACUUUAUUGCGUUUCAAAUCCUUUGUUUCGAUGGUUAAACAAACAAAACAGUUUUAAUUUCCGUGGAUAGAAUGACAGUUCCAUCGAUAAAAUGACAGUUCAUCCCGAUUAAAAAAAUCUCCAUACAAACUUUAAAUGCAUUUUAAAAAUAGUUUCCGAGCACUAAAAAUGAUGAAAUUUUGGAUUUCGACUAAUUUUUGAACGGAGAUUCCGAUUAUUAAAUAAUUUGGAUGCCCCUAAAGAACCCAAUUAUGAAUAAAACUAAUAAUGGAAGCACAAUUUUUGUAUUAUUUUAAAAUCAUCAUUAUGAAUGUAAUAAAAAUAUUUUUCAACUAUUUAAAAAAAAAACAGUACUUUUAUUUUUGAUCGUAUGACAACCAUUGAAAUGUUUUUUUUUGCGAGCACUUUUAUCUUUCAAAAACAACAAUCCAAUAUAAAUAUCUAUAAAUAUCCAUAUAAAUACAAGGUGUUAGGUUCAUGAGUGCAAACUUUUUAA
Aedes albopictus (Asian tiger mosquito) is the source of this 1806-nucleotide long non-coding RNA. RefSeq lists it as uncharacterized. NCBI's taxonomy places the organism in Eukaryota, Metazoa, Arthropoda, Insecta, Diptera, Culicidae. The transcript is spliced from 3 exons. The record is from RefSeq and is a predicted model, not a curated record.